UGCAAGUCGUACGAGAGUUUUUAACUCAAGUGGCGGACGGGUGAGUAACACGUGAGUAUUUAUCUUUAGGAGGGGGACAACAAUUGGAAACGAUUGCUAAUACCCCAUAUGCUUUAGAGUGAAAUGGAUUUAUCCGCCUAAAGAAAAGCUCGCGGCUGAUUAGCUAGUUGGUAAGGUAAUGGCUUACCAAGGCGACGAUCAGUAUCUGGUUUGAGAGGACGAUCAGACACACUGGAACUGAGACACGGUCCAGACUCCUACGGGAGGCAGCAGUGGGGAAUUUUCCGCAAUGGGCGAAAGCCUGACGGAGCAAUACCGCGUGAGGGAAGACUGCCUAUGGGUUGUAAACCUCUUUUUUCAGGGAGGAAUAAAUGACGUGUACCUGAAGAAUAAGCAUCGGCUAACUCCGUGCCAGCAGCCGCGGUAAGACGGAGGAUGCAAGUGUUAUCCGGAAUCACUGGGCGUAAAGCGUCUGUAGGUGGUUAGGUAAGUCAACUGUUAAAUCUUGAGGCUCAACCUCAAAAUCGCAGUCGAAACUAUCUGACUAGAGUAUAGUAGAGGUAAAGGGAAUUUCCAGUGGAGCGGUGAAGUGCGUAGAUAUUGGAAAGAACACCGAUGGCGAAGGCACUUUACUGGGCUAUUACUGACACUC
Molecule: ribosomal RNA, 652 nt
Filed under: uncultured bacterium
Lineage: Bacteria
Description: bacterial SSU rRNA
Rfam family: Bacterial small subunit ribosomal RNA
Source: RNAcentral